GUGUCCUGUGCACAGUGCUAGUGGUAAAAGGCAGCACUCUAGUAUGUGUCUUGGCUAUCAUGCUGAGGUCAUGGGUUCAAAUCCCACCAGACACA
RNAcentral lists this transfer RNA (95 nucleotides) under Cronartium ribicola 11-2. RNAcentral's name for it is "tRNA-Leu (CAA) (tRNA-Leu-CAA-7-1)". The record is from RNAcentral. Lineage: Eukaryota; Fungi; Basidiomycota; Pucciniomycetes; Pucciniales; Coleosporiaceae.